GGAGGUAGUGACAAUAAAUCACAAUGCGGGACUGUUAGUCUUGCAAUUGGAUUGAGAACAACGUACAACUCUUAUCGAUAAGCCAUUGGAGGGCAAGUCUGGUGCCAGCAGCCGCGGUAAUUCCAGCUCCAAUAGCGUAUAUUAACGUUGUUGCAGUUAAAAAGCUCGUAGUUGAAGUGAGGGAGUGUGUGGGUAUGAGAGCUAGUCUCAAGUACUCACAACCUCCCCCCUCCAAUGGGUGUAGUGGGGUAUUCACUUAUUUCACUACUCCUUUGGUCGUUUACUGUGAGAAAAUUAGAGUGUUCAAAGCGGGCGUUUGUUUGAAUAGAUUAGCAUGGAAUAAUGAUUGAAGGCUUUCGUGUUCGAUUUGAUUGGUUUGUUCAUGGAAGCAAGGUUAAAAGGAACAGUUGGGGGUAUUCAUAUUCACUAGUUAGAGGUGAAAUUCUCGGAUUUAUGGAAGAUGAACAAGUGCGAAAGCA
This 479-nucleotide ribosomal RNA is filed under the name Blastocystis sp. Its description in RNAcentral is "SSU rRNA". It matches the Rfam family "Eukaryotic small subunit ribosomal RNA", at positions 460 to 953 of the family's 1831-position model. The record is from RNAcentral. Lineage: Eukaryota; Bigyra; Opalinata; Blastocystidae.